UACGGAGGGUGCAAGCGUUAUCCGGAUUCACUGGGUUUAAAGGGUGUGUAGGCGGAUUUUUAAGUCAGUGGUGAAAUCUCCGGGCUCAACCCGGAAACUGCCAUUGAUACUAUUAGUCUUGAAUUCUGUUGAGGUGGGCGGAAUACAUCAUGUAGCGGUGAAAUGCUUAGAUAUGAUGUAGAACACCGAUUGCGAAGGCAGCUCACUAAGCAGACAUUGACGCUGAGGCACGAAAGCGUAGGUAGCGAAUGGG
RNAcentral lists this ribosomal RNA (253 nucleotides) under uncultured bacterium. Its description in RNAcentral is "partial 16S ribosomal RNA". It matches the Rfam family "Bacterial small subunit ribosomal RNA", at positions 524 to 776 of the family's 1533-position model. The record is from RNAcentral.